UCCUGUACUACCGAUAACUGUUUGAGAGAAGGGAUGACACAGUAGGAUAAGCUAAGCACACUGUUGGUUAUGUGUGCCCAAGCAUUGAGGCAGUCAAAGUAGGCAAAUCCGCUUUGAUAAUGCUGGGAUGUGAUGGGGAGCGAAAUUUAGUAGCGAAGUAGCUGAUUUCACACUGUCAAGAAAAGUCUCUAUCGAGGUUAAAGGUACCCGUACCGCAAACAGACACAGGUGGGUGAGGAGAGUAUCCUAAGGCCAGCGAGAGAACUGUUGUUAUGGAACUCGGCAAAAUGACACCGUCAAUUAGGGAUAAGGGGUGCCACCAUCA
This 325-nucleotide ribosomal RNA is filed under the name Clostridioides difficile. RNAcentral describes it as "bacterial LSU rRNA". It matches the Rfam family "Bacterial large subunit ribosomal RNA", at positions 1437 to 1759 of the family's 2925-position model. Lineage: Bacteria; Bacillati; Bacillota; Clostridia; Peptostreptococcales; Peptostreptococcaceae. The record is from RNAcentral.